AAGCGGCAACAGCUCAAAUUUGAAAUCUGGCCCUUACGGGUCCGAGUUGUAAUUUGUAGAGGAUGCUUUUGGCAAGGCGCCGCCCGAGUUCCCUGGAACGGGACGCCACAGAGGGUGAGAGCCCCGUCUGGCUGGCCGCCGAGCCUCUGUAAAGCUCCUUCGACGAGUCGAGUAGUUUGGGAAUGCUGCUCAAAAUGGGAGGUAUAUGUCUUCUAAAGCUAAAUAUUGGCCAGAGACCGAUAGCGCACAAGUAGAGUGAUCGAAAGAUGAAAAGCACCUUGAAAAGAGGGUUAAAUAGUACGUGAAAUUGUUGAAAGGGAAGCGCUUGUGACCAGACUUGGGCGCGGCGGAUCAUCCGGGGUUCUCCCCGGUGCACUUCGCCGCGUCCAGGCCAGCAUCAGUUCGUCGCGGGGGAAAAAGGCUUCGGGAACGUGGCUCCCUCGGGAGUGUUAUAGCCCGUUGCGUAAUACCCUGCGGUGGACUGAGGACCGCGCAUCUGCAAGGAUGCUGGCGUAAUGGUCACCAGCGACCCGUCUUGAAACACGGACCAAGGAGUCGUCUUCGUAUGCGAGUGUUCGGGUGUCAAACCCCUACGCGUAAUGAAAGUGAACGCAGGUGAGAGCUUCGGCGCAUCAUCGACCGAUCCUGAUGUUCUCGGAUGGAUUUGAGUAAGAGCAUACGGGGCCGGACCCGAAAGAAGGUGAACUAUGCCUGUAUAGGGUGAAGCCAGAGGAAACUCUGGUGGAGGCUCGCAGCGGUUCUGACGUGCAAAUCGAUCG
RNAcentral lists this ribosomal RNA (779 nucleotides) under Trichoderma longibrachiatum. RNAcentral's name for it is "eukaryotic LSU rRNA". It matches the Rfam family "Eukaryotic large subunit ribosomal RNA", at positions 96 to 904 of the family's 3401-position model. Lineage: Eukaryota; Fungi; Ascomycota; Sordariomycetes; Hypocreales; Hypocreaceae. The record is from RNAcentral.